CCUACGGGAGGCAGCAGCGAGGAAUUUUGCGCAAUGGGCGAAAGCCUGACGCAGCAACGCCGCGUGGGGGAUGAAGGCCUUCGGGUUGUAAACCCCUUUUCUUGGGGACGAUGAUGACGGUACCCAAGGAAUAAGCCUCGGCUAACUACGUGCCAGCAGCCGCGGUAAUACGUAGGAGGCGAGUGUUGUCCGGAUUUACUGGGCGUAAAGAGCGCGUAGACGGCCGGCUAAGUCUGGGGUGAAAUCUCCCGGCUAAACUGGGAGGGGGCGCCGGAUACUGGUCGGCUUGAGGGCAGCAGAGGGAAGUGAAAUUCCCGGUGGAGGGGUAAAAUGCGUAGAUAUCGGGAGGACCACCAGUGGCGAAGGCGGUUCUCUGGAU
Molecule: ribosomal RNA, 379 nt
Filed under: uncultured Chloroflexota bacterium
Lineage: Bacteria; Bacillati; Chloroflexota
Description: uncultured Chloroflexi bacterium partial 16S ribosomal RNA
Rfam family: Bacterial small subunit ribosomal RNA
Source: RNAcentral